This 504-nucleotide ribosomal RNA is filed under the name uncultured bacterium. Its description in RNAcentral is "partial 16S ribosomal RNA". It matches the Rfam family "Bacterial small subunit ribosomal RNA", at positions 29 to 523 of the family's 1533-position model. The record is from RNAcentral.
AUUGAACGCUGGCGGCAGGCCUAACACAUGCAAGUCGAGCGGUAGCACAGAGAGCUUGCUCUCGGGUGACGAGCGGCGGACGGGUGAGUAAUGUCUGGGAAACUGCCCGAUGGAGGGGGAUAACUACUGGAAACGGUAGCUAAUACCGCAUAACGUCGCAAGACCAAAGAGGGGGACCUUCGGGCCUCUUGCCAUCGGAUGUGCCCAGAUGGGAUUAGCUAGUAGGUGGGGUAACGGCUCACCUAGGCGACGAUCCCUAGCUGGUCUGAGAGGAUGACCAGCCACACAGGAACUGAGACACGGUCCAGACUCCUACGGGAGGCAGCAGUGGGGAAUAUUGCACAAUGGGCGCAAGCCUGAUGCAGCCAUGCCGCGUGUAUGAAGAAGGCCUUCGGGUUGUAAAGUACUUUCAGCGGGGAGGAAGGUGUUGAGGUUAAUAACCUCAGCAAUUGACGUUACCCGCAGAAGAAGCACCGGCUAACUCCGUGCCAGCCGCCGCGGUAA